RNAcentral lists this ribosomal RNA (356 nucleotides) under uncultured Glomeraceae. Its description in RNAcentral is "SSU rRNA". It matches the Rfam family "Eukaryotic small subunit ribosomal RNA", at positions 569 to 929 of the family's 1831-position model. Lineage: Eukaryota; Fungi; Glomeromycota; Glomeromycetes; Glomerales; Glomeraceae. The record is from RNAcentral.
AGCAGCCGCGGUAAUUCCAGCUCCAAUAGCGUAUAUUAAAGUUGUUGCAGUUAAAAAGCUCGUAGUUGAAUUUCGGGGUUAGUAGGCUGGUCGUGCCACUGGUAUGUACUGGUCUUACUGACUUCUCCUUUCUGAAGAACUGUAAUGCCAUUAAUUUGGUGUUGCAGGGAAUCAGGACUGUUACUUUGAAAAAAUUAGAGUGUUUAAAGCAGGCUAACGCUUGAAUACAUUAGCAUGGAAUAAUGAAAUAGGACGUUCGAUCCUAUUUUGUUGGUUUCUAGGAUUGACGUAAUGAUUAAUAGGGAUAGUUGGGGGCAUUAGUACUCAAUUGUCAGAGGUGAAAUUCUUGGAUUUAU